UAUAUUAUGGAGAAUGCACUGAGUUUUAAAAAAUGAUUAACUUCAAAUAUUACGAACUAAUUAAUGAAUUAUUAAAAUAAAAAAACUAAAUCUAAUAAUUAACAUAAAUAUUUAACAUUAAGAAUAUGCGUGAAUAAUUAAUAUCAAUGUUAUAAAUAAUGUUACAUAAACUUCAAUUAUAUAUCUGUUACGUUAUCAUGCAGAGGGGUCUGACUUGUAUUUUAUAAUAUGUUCUGUUGCACCGCACCUGUCGCAUUUACGAGGUCGAAAUUUUUUUUCAGUCGAUGGUAUUCUAGACGUAUGUGUAUGUCCAGGAGUACAUGGGCCGACUGCUGGUGGCAACAAGUUAUUCAAUGAGAGAAUAUGAUCAGGAACUUCCCACUCGACUUCAUUCGGUAUAGGAAAUAUGGUUUCGGCAUAUGCUGCUCUCCAAGAACCAGUCGUGUAAUAAGCACUGCAUAAGGUGUGUGGUGGAAUUCAUCUAUAAAUAGCCAUCGCUACUAUAUGUGUACACGGAAAACUCUACAACUGAAACUGUCUACACGUGCACGUGUUAUCAUUCAAGUUGAUGGUGUAUCCGAAAUUACGUGCACAUCUCGCGGAG
This 604-nucleotide small RNA is filed under the name Olea europaea subsp. europaea. The record is from RNAcentral. Lineage: Eukaryota; Viridiplantae; Streptophyta; Magnoliopsida; Lamiales; Oleaceae.